CUGGUUGAUCCUGCCAGUAGUCAUAUGCUUGUCUCAAGGAUUAAGCCAUGCAAGUCUAAGUUUAAGUACAUCUAGUUCGAAACUGCGAAAAGCUCAUUAUAUCAGUUAUUGUCUGCUCGAUAGUCAAAAUUAUAUGGAUAACCGUAGUAAUUCUAGAGCUAAUACAUGCCCAACGUGCUGGUCUUACAAUCAGUACAAUUUAUUAGAUACAAAACCAACCCUGCUUCUGCAGGCCUUAUGGUGACUCAUAAUAACCUGUCGAUCACAUUUCACAAUGUGAUGUGUCGUAUGAAUUUCUGCCCUAUCAGCUUUGAUGUUAGUGUAGUGGACUAACAUGGCGAAAACGGGUGACGGAGGAUUAGGGUCUGAUUCCGGAGAGGGAGCCUGAGAAACGGCUACCACUUCCAAGGAAGGCAGCAGGCGCGUAAAUUACCCAAUCUCGAUACGAGGAGGUAGUGACAAGAAAUAACAAUAUCGGUCCUGUAUAAGGUCUGGUAAUUGGAAUGAGUACAAUUUAAAGUUCUUAACGAGGAUCAAUUGGAGGGAAAGUCUGGUGCCA
RNAcentral lists this ribosomal RNA (559 nucleotides) under uncultured eukaryote. RNAcentral describes it as "bacterial SSU rRNA". It matches the Rfam family "Eukaryotic small subunit ribosomal RNA", at positions 4 to 569 of the family's 1831-position model. The record is from RNAcentral.